GGAAGGAUCAUUACUGAGCUAAUGUUCCGUCCCGAACGAUCUUUGGCGCUGCCUCUGGACCAACUGCCUAACCGGCGGUGGGUCCUGCCAAAGCGUUCGCCCAGUGGGUGGGAAACCCUCGCUGGGAGUGACCGGUGGGAAGCCGCGAUCCCGCCGUUCGCAUACGAGGAACGGGAAGCCGCGAUCCCGUUCCUUAUGCCUGCCCCACGGUUGUGUGUGAAGCCUCGAUCACACACAGGUGACGCCUCGAUCACUAACCGUGUGCAGAUGCGUGACUGACCGAUGUGGAUCCCAGAUCCCACCCCGCUCGGGGAUUCGAUUCAAAAUUUCUACGAGUACGCUUGAACUGCCUGAAGCGAACGAGUAGAUGGCCCGUGGAUCGGAUCCCAACCCGCCCGGGGAACUGGGAGAAGCGAAGUCGGUUGCAUGUGUGGGUUAGCUGCUAGAGAAAUCUAGUACCUACUCCGUCAAGCGCUUGAAGCCUCGAUCGCGCUUGUGAAACCCGUCCCCGGUUGGAAGCCGCGAUCCGACUGGGGGCGCCAUUCUCUAGCCUGACAAGGGGAGUUAUUCCCGGUCAGGUUCAGGUACCUACGCUAGAGAGGCGGAUGCCACUAGACACUCGCUCCUGCCGCAACUGUUUCUGGUGAGGAGAAGGUUUAAUGAGCGGCGGAUCUUGCCGACACCUGAGACCCUUUACGAUUUCAAUUUUUUUGAAAGGCUCGUGAGGGCCGAAAAACUACUAUUCUAAGCGGUGGAUCACUAGGCUCGUGGGUCGAUGAAGAACGCAGCCAGCUGCGAGACUUAAUGUGAAUUGCAGACACAUUGAUCAUCGACAUUUUGAACGCAUAUUGCGGCGUUGGGUAUCAUUCCCAACGCCACGUCUGUCUGAGGGUCGAUUUAUCGACAGCAAUUGUUUGGCCCGAGACGCGAUGUGGAACCUUUCGCCCGCUAGGUUCCGUCUCGGGCUGGGCAGAAAUGGUGAGCUGCUGAACCCGCCCGGAGUCCCCCGUGGGCGCUGUACGCCUCUACAGCGGUAAAUCUCGAUACAGCCCGCGCAUCCAAGACUCGGUUCGGUACCUCGCUUGAGUACAGAUGGCCAUGGCCUCGUCUAUGGCAUCCUACUUCAACAUUGGAGACGGCGGUCGUCCUCUGUCCCGAAUCUUACAGAGCGCCCUGGCGACUACUGGAUCCAUUCACGACCUCAGAUCAGGCGUGAUUACCCGCUGAAUUUAAGCAUAUAACUAGGCGGAGGAAAAGAAACUAACAAGGAUUCCCCCAGUAACGGCGAGUGAACGGGGAAGAGCCCAGCACCGAAUCCCUUAGCGCAUGCUGAUGGGACCUGUGGUGUAUAGGAGAGCACGUCUGGUGCUGCAGCCAUUCCUAAUUCCUCUUGACCGGGGAUCCCGCAGAAGGUGCAAGGCCUGUGCGGAUGGUGGCGGCGCCAGUAUGAGCCUCCUUGGAGUCGGGUUGCUUGAAAGUGCAGCCCAAAGCGGGUGGUAAACCCCAUCUAAGGCUAAAUAUGACCACGAGACCGAUAGCAAACAAGUACCGCGAGGGAAAGUUGCAAAGAACUUUGAAGAGAGAGUUCAAGAGGACGUGAAACCGCUUGGAAGCAAACAGGUGGACCCGGCGUUAGUCCACUGGAUUCAGCCUACUCUUACUCAGCGCGUCGGCGUUCGAUUUAUCGACGGCCUCUCCGGCGCUCCCUGGGUUGGAUGGGUGCAUUUCCAGCGGAUGCGCACCAAGGGCGGCUGGCGAGCAGCGUGAAGCGGGCAGGAGAGGGCCGGUGCUUCGGCACCGGUGUCCGACUCCCGUGGAAUGCGUGUUUCGUCGGCCGUGACUCUUUGGCGCCCGCCCUUGGCUUGGUUUUCGUGGCGGCUUGGGGAGCUGACCGGUCCGGUGUUCCUGUCUCAGGACCCGGCAAACCCUCCCCUCGCCCACUGCGGAUCCCGAGCCGGCGCCUCACUUUGGUGUUCCAGUCGGAAACCCACCUGACCCGUCUUGAAACACGGACCAAGGAGUCUAACAUGUGCGCGAGUUAUUGGGUUGCAAAACCUAAAGGCGUAAUGAACGUGAAGACUGGUUCGGCCAGUUGAUAUGGGAUCCCGGGCUUCGGCCUGGGCGCACCAUAGUCCCAUCUCAUCUGCAUCGCCAGAGAGGUGGAGAUAGAGCGUACACGUUGGGACCCGAAAGAUGGUGAACUAUGCCUGAGCAGGACGAAGCCAGAGGAAACUCUGGUGGAGGUCCGAAACGGUUCUGACGUGCAAAUCGAUCGUCAGACUUGGGUAUAGGGGCGAAAGACUAAUCGAACCAUCUAGUAGCUGGUUCCCUC
Molecule: unclassified non-coding RNA, 2332 nt
Filed under: uncultured fungus
Lineage: Eukaryota; Fungi
Description: sequence contains 18S rRNA gene, ITS1, 5.8S rRNA gene, ITS2, 28S rRNA gene
Rfam family: Eukaryotic large subunit ribosomal RNA (bases 1197-2332)
Source: RNAcentral